UGGCUCUCGCAUCGAUGAAGAACGCAGCGAAAUGCGAUAAGUAAUGUGAAUUGCAGAAUUCAGUGAAUCAUCGAAUCUUUGAACGCACCUUGCACCCUUUGGUAUUCCGAGGGGUACACCUGUUUGAGUGUCAUUGUAAUCUCACCCUUCGACUCUUUGUCGUUGUGUUGUGGAACUGGAUGCUGCUGUGCUGUGACAGCUCAUCUGAAAUAUCUGAGCACAUCCUGGAUUUGCAGUGUGUUCGGUGUGAUAAAUCUUCACCGGAGUUGACCUCAGGUCACACUUGCUUGACCAUGGCUCUGUGCUUCCAACUGUCUCAAGUGGACAAUAUCUGACAUUUUGACCUCAAAUCAGGUGGGAUUACCCGCUGA
Molecule: unclassified non-coding RNA, 371 nt
Filed under: uncultured fungus
Lineage: Eukaryota; Fungi
Description: partial contains 5.8S ribosomal RNA and internal transcribed spacer 2
Rfam family: 5.8S ribosomal RNA (bases 1-133)
Source: RNAcentral